Triticum urartu is the source of this 1870-nucleotide non-coding RNA. The record is from RefSeq and is a predicted model, not a curated record. NCBI's taxonomy places the organism in Eukaryota, Viridiplantae, Streptophyta, Magnoliopsida, Poales, Poaceae.
AGCCCAGCCCAAGUUAGCUUUCACGAUUAGGUCAUUCGUUGUCCCCACAGCGGCGCCUAUUCCUCUCGAGCCUCCCAUGCCGGCCGCCGCCCCUCGUCACCGCUCCCCUGCGACCAACUCCUUUGCACGGCUGCGACCUACCUGCAUCCUGAUGCGCCGCCGCUCACCACUCCACUGCGAUCCUCCGUCCUGGCGCGCCGCACCUCGCCACAACCCUGCGAUCCUCCAUCCGGGCGCGUCGUCGCUCGUCACCACUCCCCUGCUGCCCUGCAUACCGGCGCGCCGCCCCUCGUCAUGGCACUCCUACAACCAACGACGAAUCUAAGGUACGGCCAUGUGCAGUAUCAGGCCUGCCCACCAAGUUUUCCCCCAAACCCAAGCCAAUCUCAUGUACCAACAGCGCAUGUUCUUAGCGCGCGAUCCGUCCUUGCCGUCAUCCAAUUCGCAGCUGCUGCCGAUGUAACCAGCGGGCCACGCCCAAAAUACCUGCCUCACAAAUAUACUUUGCCAAAUUGACUAUCCACCUCCAUAGUACUAUGCAUGUAAACGCCGUCCGAAUUGGCAUGACGAGUCAGAGAGGUAAGCAGGGCAGGACCUGAGCACGCUUACUAAUAGGACUGGAUGGAUACUGCUGCCACAGAUCUCAUUCUAGGUAUGACUACAUCUAUUUUUUCUUUGUAAAGGCAAGAAGAUCAGCAAGGUAGCACCCAAUCUGUUCAACUGUUCAUUAACGCACGAUUAAGCUCGCAAAGUAGCACCCAAUCUCAAUAGUGAUUCGUCCACUUAUUAAUAUUACAUGCAAGGUAAUGAUCGGGCCUCUCUAUACUAUGCAAAUUGAUAUGCUUGAGCAACAACAAACUGCAGCAAUUAAUUUAACUAGCAUAUAUUAACUACAAACAUAUCAGAGAUUGUAAAUCAAGUUGACUAUCAUGCACUAUAUAUAAGACUUUUACUAUUGUACGUCUUAACUUAGUCUGCAUGGCUUGCAGUGCACUUGCUACAACCAGAGUAUGUAUAUGGCUUUGAAACUGAGCAGAAUUAUUUAAUUUGCUUAUUAAUAUUAGUUAUUUGUUUAUAUUUUGCAGAUUGGUGCUUCUUUUCCUUUCUAAAAUAAAAGUUGAUCUUUGAGUUAUGUUAGUCAGAUAUGAUUAUUAUGCCAGACUAUAUCAUCAGCAAGGUGUUUUUAGUACCAAAUGAUGAAUAUUUCAACCACUAUUUGGCGUACUAUGUACUCAUGAAAUACACUCCAAGGAAACAAGCGCCUACAAAUUGUCCCUCUAAAAUUAAGUUAGGUAUGUGGCAUGCAAGUAGAGGAGAGGAUGAACUUGAGAAUUACCAAUUUUGCUCAUAUUUGAUCUGAUAAGGUAAGUUUCUUCAUAGCUUUUGUCGAUGGAUGUGAAAAUAUAUGUGCCAUCAAGCAUACUUUUAUUUUCUAUGAUCAUAUCGAUGCUUUAAAUCUUAGGCCUAAUAUAUUGCAAAUUCUAAAGACAUACGAAUCUUCUUGCGUAUGGCUUGUAAAUCUAAGAAAUUUCCCACCAAUCCUUUUUGGUGUCUUCUCCUAACCAUACCAGACCAAGGCCACCGUCAUGAGAAUAAGUGUGCAUUGUACAAGGCUUCCGUUGAAGCUAACUAUUGAUGUCAUAUUGAAGCUAACUAUUUUAGAUCACCAUAGUAGUUAUUCCCAGCUAACAAUGUGUAACACAAAAUGUUAGACUGUGCAUGGGUUCAUGAGUAGUAUGAAUAGUAGAAUGACCUUACUAGCCUUUUUUCAAUGUUUGAAGAAAAUUCUGCGGUUGGUCUUUGCAUUGUCGAUGAACGAUAUAAUUGUCAAUUCUAUUGUACGACGAUAGGGAUUAAAUCACAAAUCCGA